This 500-nucleotide ribosomal RNA is filed under the name Salmonella enterica. RNAcentral describes it as "bacterial SSU rRNA". It matches the Rfam family "Bacterial small subunit ribosomal RNA", at positions 1 to 490 of the family's 1533-position model. The record is from RNAcentral. Lineage: Bacteria; Pseudomonadati; Pseudomonadota; Gammaproteobacteria; Enterobacterales; Enterobacteriaceae.
AAAUUGAAGAGUUUGAUCAUGGCUCAGAUUGAACGCUGGCGGCAGGCCUAACACAUGCAAGUCGAACGGUAACAGGAAGCAGCUUGCUGCUUCGCUGACGAGUGGCGGACGGGUGAGUAAUGUCUGGGAAACUGCCUGAUGGAGGGGGAUAACUACUGGAAACGGUGGCUAAUACCGCAUAACGUCGCAAGACCAAAGAGGGGGACCUUCGGGCCUCUUGCCAUCAGAUGUGCCCAGAUGGGAUUAGCUUGUUGGUGAGGUAAUGGCUCACCAAGGCGACGAUCCCUAGCUGGUCUGAGAGGAUGACCAGCCACACUGGAACUGAGACACGGUCCAGACUCCUACGGGAGGCAGCAGUGGGGAAUAUUGCACAAUGGGCGCAAGCCUGAUGCAGCCAUGCCGCGUGUAUGAAGAAGGCCUUCGGGUUGUAAAGUACUUUCAGCGGGGAGGAAGGUGUUGCGGUUAAUAACCGCAGCAAUUGACGUUACCCGCAGAAGAAG